Oncorhynchus tshawytscha (Chinook salmon) is the source of this 1028-nucleotide long non-coding RNA. RefSeq lists it as uncharacterized. The transcript has 3 exons. The record is from RefSeq and is a predicted model, not a curated record. Lineage: Eukaryota; Metazoa; Chordata; Actinopteri; Salmoniformes; Salmonidae.
CCUCCUGUCAUUUAUCUUGAGAAAAGACGAAGGCAGGAAAGCUACAUUACGCGCAAUUGGUGCAGGGAAGAAACCAAUAACAAGAUGACUAAAAUGGUGAUGGCUUACAUUGGGUUCCUUCUCCUUGCCAUGCGUUUUUCGUCACAGGUCCACGCGCAAGACCCUACCACACAGUCCCCUGCCAUGAAUGCUACGACCAAAGCUGGAGGUGCGAGUUCCAACAUGACCAAGAUGCCUGAUGUCACCAAGAACAACAUUGCCAAAGGAGCCAGUGCAUCUUUGCAGUCCAGCUCCGUUGUGCUCAUCAUACCCAUCAUGGUGGGGGGCUCACUACAGGGGUGCUUCUAGAGGGCUGUUGAGCAGUGAACAGACACCAGGAAGACUUUAACAUCAGCGGCCUAGAUGGGGCAAACUGUUCUACCAAGAUAACAUUUAAAAAAUAAUAUUCAGAAAGGCAGUCAUGUUUGCACCUAACCGAAUAGAUUCGAGGGAGUUCCGUGCCAGACCAGAACCCAUUUCUACUUCACCAAUUGGAAUUGUUAUUUGCCCUCACACCUUCAAAUCAGUAAGCCUUCACACCUCACACACUGGCCCCAUGUUCAUAGGCUGAACUGUAUGGUCCUCUCCAUGGAGGCAGUCCAUGAUGAUUAUGUACUGUACGGAACUCUGCUCUUUGAACUGUUUGGUUCCUGUGUAGACACCAGGGGGUAGUUUAGUAAUUUAAGAAGUUAACAUAUCUAAAGAAAUGUUGGUUGAGGCACUUUGAAAAUAAGGUGUAAAUGAAUCUGUGGCACAUGCACGAACAGUGGCAUUUCUGCACCUGCAGUGAGUACUUUGUCAGAGGCUUGAUGUACACUUGUAAUUUAUUUCUAGAGUAUGGAAUUCUAUGAGCUAGCAUGUGAGAUUUAAUUGUAUGAAUCAUGAUGUGAUCUGCUUAGAUUUGUUUUUUUAAGGCCAGGUUCAAUAAACCUUUGAAAUGUAGGUUACUUGUGACAAUUGUCUUGUAAAAUAAAAAUACUUUAACAUAA